GCUCUAUUAGCUCAGUUGGUUAGAGCGCCGUGCUUAUAGCGUUAAACCGUCUAUGAAAUAGUCACGCGGAUGUCGCCAGUUCGAUCCUGGCAUAGAGCA
Non-coding RNA from Coemansia sp. RSA 2610, 99 nucleotides. The record is from the annotation of a GenBank genome assembly. NCBI's taxonomy places the organism in Eukaryota, Fungi, Kickxellomycota, Kickxellomycetes, Kickxellales, Kickxellaceae.